Molecule: long non-coding RNA, 2382 nt
Organism: Python bivittatus (Burmese python)
Lineage: Eukaryota; Metazoa; Chordata; Lepidosauria; Squamata; Pythonidae
Source: RefSeq, a predicted model, not a curated record
UCAGUAAUAGCGCGCGCGCACACACACACACACACAUGCAAACAAAUAUAUGUCUCAACAAAUAGUGGAUUAAAAAAAUGAACUACAGCGUCAGAGGGCCCAGGACCCGUUUCAGUUGGGAUUCAGACUGGAACCUGGUACAAAGAUGUCAUUGGUCAUCUGGUGCAGCAGUUUUCAAUAUUAUUGGCCAUGGUGUCCUUCUGGACCACUUUUGGGAAUGAAGAGUAGAGGGCACUGUAUUGUGGUGAUUUUUCUCCUUCUUUGUAACUGGUCCCAGUCAGUGUUGGUGGGGGAAGAGUUUGAACCUGAGCCCCCUGAUAUGUGGGGUGCCACAGGGCUUGACACUCUCCCUCUCCUGUUUAAUAUCUGGGUGAGGUGACCUGUCAUUCUGAGGUCAGGAAUCACCGCUAAGCUGAUGAUAUAUCUAAGCCCAGGCUGACCACGUGAUGUGGUCAAGGUCUUGUCUCAGGGUUUGGAGGCUGUGGGGGUCUGGAUAGUGAGGAAAAGACUCAGACUCAACCCUAGCACCCUGCCCAAGUGGCUGUAGGUAGUUGGACCAACUGAAACUGGAGACUUCCCAUUUUUAGUCCUGAAUGCGGUUUCAUUCCCCUAUUCAGGACUGGCGCAGAACUUGGGAGUUUUCCUGGGCUCACAGCUCCUGCUCAAGAGGCAGGUGACAGUUUUGGCCAAGAAGGCCAAGCAAUUCAAUCUUAUUUUAACACUACACAUGUGGUAAUAUGUACACUUAGAACAAACUGGGUAGCUAUGGAUAGAGGUUCAGGGCAAAUAAGUGGUUAAUGACCCAUGGGGAGAAGUGGUAAAAAAAAACUCAAGAGGAUAUCUGCGACUAUGCAAUUUAAGCCCUGCCCCUUAGUAUAUACAUGCAACACUGAGCACAUACAAAAAGGGUGAGUCUUGGUGUGGUUGGGACCACCAACUUCACCUUUUUGACCCUCCGCCCUGGAUGCUGCUGCUGCCCUAAACUCCCAGGAGUAGCUUGACAGCAAGCUGGGACUGUCUUCAGUCUAGUCAAAGCCCUGAGAACCAGGAGCAGAAAAUCACUGCCUGACAUAAAACUGCUGUAGCAAAAGCAAACUCCCAAACCUCCCCACCCAAAAAGGAUAGAAAAACUUCCCUUGGAGCUGGAGAGCUGUGAAGAGAAGAGGAAACUAACAAAAACACUGUCUGUUUUAUCCCUGUUUCCUAUGGCUGAGAGGCAGUGGCACUCCAGCCCUUUCCCUUAGUGGCACCUACAGCCCAAAAACCAGGUGAAGGAAUGAGGCAAGAGUUCCCACCAAAGGAGAAAGGGAACUGCAACAUCUCAACCCAAAAAGGGAAGAAUAAUCAGCAGCACUCUCAACUAAGCCACAGCUGAGCUGGAGAUAAAGCAGCUUAAUUUUCCAACACUGCUGACAUCAUGGAAAAACAGCUGCUUAACAAGUGGCUUGGCAUCCUCAUGUGGACGUGCCCUCAGUGUGUAUUAUUGCUUAACACACACAAGACCUUCGGAAUCUGGAUCAAUAUCUACAUAGUCCUACAUUCUUGAGGCAAGAGGCAUUGAUGUGUGCAGAAAUUGGCCAACACUAUAGCCUUCCUUCCAACCAUCUCUAAUAAUCUGCUAAGAGAAGAGCUAAGAUGGUUACAUUAUCUGGCACUGGCCACUGGGAAUGAUAUUCAAGACUGUAACCUGCAAGAGUGAAAAGAUGAAAGUUGCCUCUUGCACAGCCUUCAAGCAAGCAGAAAGCUCAAAAACAUCAAGAAGAGAUGGGGGAAAAGGGAAAGAACAGAAAGCUGUGGUCAAGAGACAUACAUUUCUUCAGAAGUAAGGCAACUUCAAAAGGUCUCUCUCACGCAGGCUCUCUCAGCUGCGUGCAUCUCAAGCAGUGGUUUGAGCUACCGUAUUGCUCUUUGGAACAUCGAUAUUCUGGAUUGCUGGUGAGACAGACAAUUUCUCAUUGAUGGAAACUUUUACAUAAGAUCACCUCUCAGCUCCUGGACUCAACUCAUCCUCUUCCCUCCUAUCCAUACAGAUUCAGCCCAAGACUGUCUGGCCAAUAUGCUACUAUUCAGUUUUUAUUCACAUUUUUUAUUCACAGUUUAUUAUUAAAACAGUUUUUUCCCUCCAAACUGUGUUCUGUGGAAUCCUAGGUUUUGUGAGAACUUGAUGGGGUUCUAUGAGAGACUAAGGGGGGAAAAUCAUCCAAGCACAGCCAAUACUCUAUCACUAGAGGUUUGGCUGUUGACCGGGGAUUCUGGGAUAGAUAAACAGACAGACUAAAUGGCUCAAAGUUUCAAACAACUUUGGGGGAAUUGAGUAAAAAGAGUAGUGCAUGGAAGUUUUUUGUCAUUUUUAUGUCAUUUCUGUUAGUUUUUUUUUUUUUA